AGGAGUAAGAAGAAGGACAAGAGUGAAGAGAAGGAGGAGGAGGAAGAGAAGGAGGAAGAGGAGAAGAGGAAGGAGGAAGAGGUGAAGGAGGAUUCCUCCCUUCCCUUCCGCCUGCCUGUUCCCUACCUGAGAGGCUCCUCUCCAUACUGGCCCAUCUCCUUAGAAAUGAACAUUAUCCCUUUCAGUCUAUUCUGCCCCCCUCCACAGCCCUAAAUUAUGCUUCACUCAAGUACCAUAUCUACCAGAUGUGAAGUUACACAGGAGCCAAACUGAGGGCAUUGUCAUCCUAGCUUGGAACCCAGCCUGAUGUAGCUGAGCAAAGGUUGUGAGACAUGCUAGCUGUCAACGCUUGGACAGAAGACUGAAAGCCAUACAAGGUGCCUCAAAUCCUGGAGGAACAGGGCACUUGGCUCCCACAGCAAAGCUGAAGAUGCAAAGUAAAGUAUUUUUUAUUUGAAGUCAAAGCCAAGGAAGGUCAAGUUCAGCAAAGGAAAUUGUUUGUCCUUGGGCUCACCAGUAGCCCCAGAGUCAUUAAUCCUUUUCAAAAAGAAAUAUAGUAACACUUUCUCUUCAGUGAUGCCAAGCUCAUCAUAAACAUUCUGAUAUCAUUAUUUCAUGGCUCAACAUCCUAUCUCAGCAUGCUAUGUAUUUGUUACAUAAAAAGAAAAGGCAAUCAGAAAAGUCCUGUGUUUGAACUUUGAAGAUAUCUGGGCUUCUGUAUUAUGUAGUGACAGAGAUGUAGCAUCUCAUGUAGCAGGGAUGGGAAUCAUGCAGGCCUCCAGAUGUUGUUGGACUGUAGUUCUCCGCAUUUCUCACCAAUGGCUAGGGCUUCUGGGGCUUGCAACAAUAACAUCUGUGUCUGUUCAGCUCCCAUUCCUGUUCUAGAAUUAGCCAUAAAAGAUGUGAACAUGGUUCUGUAAUGCUAAUUCCAGCUAGAACAGAUCUAUUGAAAUGAAUGGCACAUGUUACUCACAACCUAUCUAGGUCCAAUUUGAUCCCAAAGGAUCUGUUUUCACUGAUUUCGAAUUAACCCUUACAGUUCUAUCAUUUAUUCCCCUCUUAUAUUGCAAUUUUUGUUUUCAUUGGUGUUCUAUUGUUUGCUUAUUUUUUUGUUUUCCAUAUGUCAAGGAAUAUAUGCUGUAUGUUGAUUACAAUGAAUUUCAGUCAAAUAUGGCAUUUGAUUCAGGGAUGAGCAAAGUGUGACCUUCCAGAUGUUGGACUGCAAUUUGCAUCUUAUCACUAGCCAAUAUAGCCAAUGGUGAGGAAUGCUGGGAGUUACACCCCUGGCUUAAUUGGUGGCAUUUCUACAGGUAGUUAGAUUUUUUUUAAAGUGUUUCAGAUAGAAUUGUAAUAACAGGAAUAUCUGUCACAGAUAAUCAUAACCUGAAAGGAUUUAUAUUUCCUUUAGAAAGGCCAGUAUUGCUUUAACAGGAGCAUACAAAGUUGCAUGUGAUUAAGGGCAGCACAUAUUAAUAUUAAGUCUCUGUUGAGUCUAGAAUAGCUUCUUGUGCCCUACUCUACUCACUGAUACUGAAGAGCUCAGCAAGGCAGGGCUGGUCCAAAGCAUUUUGCUCCUCGAGACAAAAAACAAGAUGGCACCUCCCCUUUCAUUCCAUGUACAAAAGUUGACUGGACCAAGUGUUGAACCUUUCUUCAACACUACUAAUGAUUCCAAUAUUCCUCUGGCUACAAGAAUAGAGCUGAGUGCUUCUUCACAGACAGCCCACUAUCCACCAGCAAGGCAAUGCUGGAAGGAGACUGCUACAGCUGAAAGUCGGGGUUUGAUCGGAGCGGGCGGACAAGUACCCUCAUCCCACUUGAUGGAGAUUUGUGUGCUCUGGGCUCUAUUAAGGAUUAGAGUUACAGGAGCCUCGUCCCAGAUCCAAUCUGACAUCCUACCUCUGACUUAAUAGCAGUAAAUCAUCUCCAUGUCAAGUGAAGCUGCCCAAUAAAUUGUUAUUACAAAAUAAUAAGAUAACUUAAUUACAUUUUAACAACCAUUUUGUAUGUUCUCUCUGUGUGCACGUACCUUGUGUAUGUGUAUAUGCCUUCAAGUCACUUGUCGACUUAUGGCAA
Molecule: long non-coding RNA, 2076 nt
Organism: Sceloporus undulatus (fence lizard)
Lineage: Eukaryota; Metazoa; Chordata; Lepidosauria; Squamata; Phrynosomatidae
Exons: 3
Source: RefSeq, a predicted model, not a curated record